AUUGAACGCUGGCGGCAUGCCUUACACAUGCAAGUCGAACGGUAACAGGUCUUCGGAUGCUGACGAGUGGCGAACGGGUGAGUAAUACAUCGGAACGUGCCUAGUAGUGGGGGAUAACUACUCGAAAGAGUGGCUAAUACCGCAUGAGAUCUACGGAUGAAAGCAGGGGAUCGCAAGACCUUGUGCUACUAGAGCGGCCGAUGGCAGAUUAGGUAGUUGGUGGGAUAAAAGCUUACCAAGCCGACGAUCUGUAGCUGGUCUGAGAGGAGAAUCAGCCACACGGGGACUAAGAACCGGCCCAGACUCCUACGGGAGGCAGCAGUGGGGAAUUUUGGACAAUGGGCGCAAGCCUGAUCCAGCAAUGCCGCGUGCAGGAUGAAGGCCUUCGGGUUGUAAACUGCUUUUGUACGGAACGAAAAGCCCCGGGUUAAUACCCUGGGGUCAUGACGGUACCGUAAGAAUAAGCACCGGCUAACUACGUGCCAGCAGCCGCCGUAA
RNAcentral lists this ribosomal RNA (498 nucleotides) under uncultured bacterium. Its description in RNAcentral is "partial 16S ribosomal RNA". It matches the Rfam family "Bacterial small subunit ribosomal RNA", at positions 30 to 523 of the family's 1533-position model. The record is from RNAcentral.